CCGCCAGAGAACUACAAGUGAAAAACUUAAAACUUAAAGGACUUGACGGUGUCCCAUAUCGGUCUAGAGGAGCCUGUCCUAUAAUCGAUACCCCUCGUUCCACCCAACCUCAACUAGCAAACAUGCCAGCCUAUAUACCGCCGUCGACAGCCUACCCUAUGAAGGUAUAACAGUAGACACAACAGCCUCCCACUAGCACGUCAGGUCAAGGUGUAGCAAAUGUUGAGGAAGAGAUUGGCUACAUUUUUUAUAAUAAAAAUACGAAAUGUAUUAUGAAAUACUACAUGAAGGUGAAUUUAGUAGUAAAAU
Molecule: ribosomal RNA, 309 nt
Filed under: Parvilacerta fraasii
Lineage: Eukaryota; Metazoa; Chordata; Lepidosauria; Squamata; Lacertidae
Description: partial 12S ribosomal RNA
Rfam family: Bacterial small subunit ribosomal RNA
Source: RNAcentral